GACGAACGCUGGCGGCGUGCUUAACACAUGCAAGUCGAGCGGUAAGGCCCUUUCGGGGGUACACGAGCGGCGAACGGGUGAGUAACACGUGGGUGACCUGCCCUCAGCUCUGGGAUAAGCCUGGGAAACCGGGUCUAAUACCGGAUAUGACUCCAUGACGCAUGUUGUGGGGUGGAAAGCCUUGUGCGGCUGAGGAUGGGCCCGCGGCCUAUCAGCUUGGUUGGUGGGGNGAUGGCCUACCAAGGCGACGACGGGUAGCCGGCCUGAGAGGGCGACCGGCCACACUGGGACUGAGACACGGCCCAGACUCCUACGGGAGGCAGCAGUGGGGAAUCUUGCGCAAUGGGCGAAAGCCUGACGCAGCGACGCCGC
This 372-nucleotide ribosomal RNA is filed under the name uncultured bacterium. RNAcentral's name for it is "bacterial SSU rRNA". It matches the Rfam family "Bacterial small subunit ribosomal RNA", at positions 28 to 400 of the family's 1533-position model. The record is from RNAcentral.